UCGAGUUAGGGUCCGUUCGGGCCCCUUCUCCAACCCGUGCCUACUUUACCUGUUGCUUCGGCGGGCCCGUCCUUGACCGGACCGCCGGGGAUCUCGGUCCCUGGCCCGUGCCCGUCAGUAGCCCCCCUCAACUCGGAUGAACACGUUGUCUAAGUCGAUAACAAGCACAA
Molecule: unclassified non-coding RNA, 170 nt
Filed under: uncultured Verrucariales
Lineage: Eukaryota; Fungi; Ascomycota; Eurotiomycetes; Verrucariales
Description: sequence contains ITS1
Source: RNAcentral